This 238-nucleotide long non-coding RNA is filed under the name Elaeis guineensis (African oil palm). Its description in RNAcentral is "long non-coding RNA (EGUI_LNC081345)". Lineage: Eukaryota; Viridiplantae; Streptophyta; Magnoliopsida; Arecales; Arecaceae. The record is from RNAcentral.
CUUCUCUAAUUAGGUGACAUUUAAUCUAAAUAGUUUAAGCUCCAAAUCAGAUUUGAUUUUCUAUCUAUUUGGAUCUAAUUAAGUCCUAAUAUGAUUAGAAUUGAUUGGAGUUUUAUUGGAUUUAAAACAGCCACCUAAAGAAGAGUCCCAUGUGCAUUAAACUUCUUCCUUUCCAUGCACCAACAAGGUCUCACAUUAAACCAGAUUUGGAUGCCACAUCCCACCAAUAUUUGUACGA